This 1351-nucleotide ribosomal RNA is filed under the name metagenome. RNAcentral's name for it is "bacterial LSU rRNA". It matches the Rfam family "Bacterial large subunit ribosomal RNA", at positions 1564 to 2925 of the family's 2925-position model. The record is from RNAcentral.
UGAAUACGAGAUGCUACGGCGUCGAAGCAGUGUAUGUCAGACUUCCAAGAAAAGCUCGCUAUGUCAUAAAUAAAUAAUGCCUGUACCAUAACCGACACAGGUGGGUAGGUAGAGUAUACUAAGGGGCGCGAGAUAACUCUCUCUAAGGAACUCGGCAAAAUAACUCCGUAACUUCGGGAGAAGGAGUGCCUUAAUUUAUUAAGGUUGCAAUAACAAGAUCCAAGCAACUGUUUAUCAAAAACACAGGUCUCCGCUAAGUCGUAAGACGAUGUAUGGGGGCUGACGCCUGCCCAGUGCCAGAAGGUUAAAGAAAUUGGUUAGCAUUAGCGAAGCUGAUGACUGAAGCCCUGGUGAACGGCGGCCGUAACGAUAACGGUCCUAAGGUAGCGAAAUUCCUUGUCGGGUAAGUUCCGACCCGCACGAAAGGCGUAAUGAUUUGGAUACUGUCUCGGAGAGGGACUCGGUGAAAUAGACUUGUCUGUGAAGAUGCGGACUACCUGCACCAGGACAGAAAGACCCUAUGAAGCUUUACUGUAACCUGAAAUUGAAAUUGGACUUUAUUUGCGCAGCAUAGGUGGAAGGCGUUGAGAUUAAUCUUGCGGGAUUAAUGGAGCCAUCAGUGAGAUACCACUCCUAUAAUGUUAGAUUUCUAACUUUGGAUCAUGAUCUGGUCAAAGAACAGUUUCAGGCGGGCAGUUUGACUGGGGCGGUCGCCUCCCAAAUGGUAACGGAGGCGUACAAAGGUUUCCUCUGAACGGGUAGAAAUCGUAUCUAGAGUGUAAAGGCAUAAGGAAGCUUGACUGUGAGACCUACAAGUCGAGCAGGGACGAAAGUCGGUCUUAGUGAUCUGACGGUGCUGAGUGGAAAGGCCGUCACUCAACGGAUAAAAGUUACUCUAGGAUAACAGGCUGAUCUCCCCCAAGAGUUCACAUCGACGGGGAGGUUUGGCACCUCGAUGUCGGCUCAUCGCAUCCUGGGGCGGUAGUACGUCCCAAGGGUUGGGCUGUUCGCCCAUGAAAGCGGUACGCGAGCUGGGUUCAGAACGUCGUGAGACAGUUCGGUCCAUAUCCGGUGUAGGCGUUAGAAUAUUGAGAGGAGCCUUCUUUAGUACGAGAGGACCGAGAAGGACAUACCUAUGGUGUACCAGUUAUCGUGCCAACGGUAAACGCUGGGUAGCUAUGUGUGGAGAGGAUAACCGCUGAAAGCAUCUAAGUGGGAAGCCCACCUCAAGAUGAGUGCUCUCACAGGGUUAACCUGGUAAGGUCACGGGAAGACCACCCGUUAAUAGGCACUAGGUGGAAGUCCAGUAAUGGAUGGAGCUAAGGUGUACUAACAGACCGAGGGCUUGACC